UCCUUGCUAUCUGGGUGCUAGU
RNAcentral lists this microRNA (22 nucleotides) under Pteropus alecto (black flying fox). RNAcentral's name for it is "pal-miR-502-5p". Its record names the gene pal-miR-502-5p. The record is from miRBase by way of RNAcentral. Lineage: Eukaryota; Metazoa; Chordata; Mammalia; Chiroptera; Pteropodidae.